Molecule: ribosomal RNA, 372 nt
Filed under: uncultured bacterium
Lineage: Bacteria
Description: bacterial SSU rRNA
Rfam family: Bacterial small subunit ribosomal RNA
Source: RNAcentral
ACGAACGCUAGCGGCGUGCUUAACACAUGCAAGUCGAGCGGUAAGGCCCUUUCGGGGGUACACGAGCGGCGAACGGGUGAGUAACACGUGGGUGACCUGCCCUUAGCUCUGGGAUAAGCCUGGGAAACUGGGUCUAAUACCGGAUAUGACUCCAUGACGCAUGUUGUGGGGUGGAAAGCCUUGUGCGGCUAGGGAUGGGCCCGCGGCCUAUCAGCUUGUUGGUGGGGUGAUGGCCUACCAAGGCGACGACGGGUAGCCGGCCUGAGAGGGCGACCGGCCACACUGGGACUGAGACACGGCCCAGACUCCUACGGGAGGCAGCAGUGGGGAAUCUUGCGCAAUGGGCGAAAGCCUGACGCAGCGACGCCGCGU